RNAcentral lists this ribosomal RNA (253 nucleotides) under uncultured bacterium. RNAcentral describes it as "partial 16S ribosomal RNA". It matches the Rfam family "Bacterial small subunit ribosomal RNA", at positions 524 to 776 of the family's 1533-position model. The record is from RNAcentral.
UACGGAGGGUCCAAGCGUUAUCCGGAAUCAUUGGGUUUAAAGGGUCCGUAGGCGGGGUAAUAAGUCAGUGGUGAAAGUCUGCAGCUUAACUGUAGAAUUGCCAUUGAUACUGUUGUCCUUGAAUUAUUAUGAAGUGGUUGGAAUGAGUAGUGUAGCGGUGAAAUGCAUAGAUAUUACUCAGAACACCUAUUGCGAAGGCAGAUCACUAAUAAUAUAUUGACGCUGAGGGACGAAAGCGUAGGUAGCGAACAGG